UCCCUGGUGGCCUAGCAGUUAAGGAUCCAGCAUUGUCACCGCUGUGGUGUGGGUUUGAUCCCUGUCCUGGGAA
This 73-nucleotide transfer RNA is filed under the name Sus scrofa (pig). It matches the Rfam family "tRNA". Rfam says of the family: Transfer RNA (tRNA) molecules are approximately 80 nucleotides in length. Their secondary structure includes four short double-helical elements and three loops (D, anti-codon, and T loops). The record is from Rfam by way of RNAcentral. Lineage: Eukaryota; Metazoa; Chordata; Mammalia; Artiodactyla; Suidae.